UAGACAAUUUUGGACAAAAAUAAGACGAAAGUUUUGAAAUAGUUAGGGAACGGGAGGGUAUACCGAACCAAAACCACUCAUCCCUAAUCAAAGAUUAUGUGCCAUAACAAAAUUAUGUCAGUGAUAAUGGUGUAGAAAGUUUAAUAAGACAAGUAACAUCAAAAUGGUGCAACGCAACUGAGGCAUGGAAGUGCAACUGAUGGCUGAUGCUGGUAUUUUGAGUGUCAAUCAGGCACAAAAAUUCAGCAUUUUCAAAUAGAGGGUUUGCUGCAUCAAUCUCCACUCUCAUCAUUCAUGCCUUACAAGACAUGUCCUCCAGCACCAAGGAAGAAGAUCGGAUAAGUCCACUGUCAGAUGAAAUCAUCCUUCGCAUCCUCUCCUUCACGCCCACAAAAUUUGCGGUUCGAACAGGCAUUUUGUCGAACAGGUGGAGGCACCUCUGGAAGUUCAGUCCCGUCAUCGAUUUCUAUUCAUUGCCUUAUAAUUGGAGAGAACCUGUUGAUAAUUCGUUUGUCAAUUGAUGCCUGGAGCUUCAUAGAACUCCAGAACUGCUGAAGUUUCGCGUGGUGUCGAACUGGUGUCCUGAAUUUAAAAGCCGGGUCGAUUUUGCCAUAGCAAGGAAUGUUCAUGAUCUCGUAAUGGGUUUUACUUUAGAAUCAUUAGGCACAAAUCGUUUAAAGUAGCCACGUUCCUUUUAUGCUAAUACCCAGUCCAUCAAGUGUUUGUGGUUAAGCUGCUUUUUCUUUAGGCCUCCUACAUAUUUCACGGGCUUUGCUAAUCUUAAGACACUCUCUCUUUGCUACAUUGUACUAAGUGAUAAAGUUUUUAAGUUGUUUUAUUCAGAUGUCCCCUUCUUGAAAGCUUAACUUUGUAUGAAUGUUUUGGGUUAAUUAAUGUUAAAAUUGCUGCCCCAAACCUGCGACUCAAGCACUUUGUCUUCCAUUCGAAUAUGCAAGACAACGGAGUUUUACUUGAAAUUGAUGUAUCUGGUAUCCCUCAAAUACGUCGGAAGUUGGAUGGAAAUUCAGUUAAAAAAAACUCAGCUUCUCUAACUGAAGCCGCGUUUUACUUUUGGGAUAUGAAACCAUUGAGGACUAUUGCUGUGGAAAGUUUGGUGAGGAAAGUUCACCGCGGAGUGGCAUUUCUGAGUGUAGAUUCUUGGUUUGUGCAGGCACAGUUUUGAGAUGCCUAUUUCGAUGGGUUUCACGAAUGGAGAAGUUAUAAGGAUGUCACAGCGUGUCAUUAUGCCGAGCUGGAGGAUGGACAAGUUCUGUUACAUGGUGGGUGUCUAUAAGCUCAAGAUAAUUAAUGUCUGUGGCUUUUCAGAUUAUAAGAGAGAGACGGAGCUGGUGAAACAUCUAUUACAAAGAGCAUCCUCUUGUAAUAGAUAAACAGUUGCUUCAAGAAGAGGUAUCUCUUUUACCAAGAGCAUCCUCUUGUGCCCAAGUCGAAUUAUUUUAAGGAUUUCCAGCAUUAUAGGAGGUGAGAUUUAGGAUUAGGAGGCUUAACAACUUUGGAGUAAAAGAAAAAAAAACUCUCAUUUUUUUUGCCCAUGUUUUGCUUAGAUUUCAUGUAUUCAGUUCUCUUUAGAAAAUAGUUUCCUUGUCUUUUAAAGCCUAGUACGAUCUUUGAAAGCAAAAUUGACACUUUUCCGUUGGAGUCCAGAUUAGGGUUCAUGGGUAAGUUGUAUUCCGUUGCUUAAAUUAUUAUUGUACUUAUUGAAGCUAAAAGUCACUGCCUAGACUCUUUUAUGAAGAUGCCAUAUACGCAUCGAACACAUGUCGGACACUGACAUUUCAGAGAUACUCGUAGUUGUGUGUUUGACACCUUGUAAACUUGCGAAAGUAAAAAUUUCGUAAUAUUUUCAUUGUUUUGUACACGUUGAUGACACAUUAUAAAUACCAUCCAACAUUUGGCAUAUGUAAUACACAUUUUAAUAGGAGCCAUGUCCA
Long non-coding RNA from Cornus florida, 1952 nucleotides. RefSeq lists it as uncharacterized. The record is from RefSeq and is a predicted model, not a curated record. The transcript is spliced from 3 exons. NCBI's taxonomy places the organism in Eukaryota, Viridiplantae, Streptophyta, Magnoliopsida, Cornales, Cornaceae.